This 435-nucleotide ribosomal RNA is filed under the name uncultured Flavobacterium sp. Its description in RNAcentral is "bacterial SSU rRNA". It matches the Rfam family "Bacterial small subunit ribosomal RNA", at positions 358 to 790 of the family's 1533-position model. The record is from RNAcentral. Lineage: Bacteria; Pseudomonadati; Bacteroidota; Flavobacteriia; Flavobacteriales; Flavobacteriaceae.
GGAAUAUUGGUCAAUGGAGGCAACUCUGAACCAGCCAUGCCGCGUGCAGGAUGACGGUCCUAUGGAUUGUAAACUGCUUUUGUACAGGAAGAAACCGCUCUACGUGUAGAGCCUUGACGGUACUGUAAGAAUAAGGAUCGGCUAACUCCGUGCCAGCAGCCGCGGUAAUACGGAGGAUCCAAGCGUUAUCCGGAAUCAUUGGGUUUAAAGGGUCCGUAGGCGGCUUAGCAAGUCAGUGGUGAAAUCUCCCCGCUCAACGGGGAAACGGCCAUUGAUACUACUAGGCUUGAAUUAUUAGGAAGUAACUAGAAUAUGUAGUGUAGCGGUGAAAUGCUUAGAUAUUACAUGGAAUACCAAUUGCGAAGGCAGGUUACUACUAAUUGAUUGACGCUGAUGGACGAAAGCGUGGGGAGCGAACAGGAUUAGAUACCCGGG